CCCCCACCCCGGGCGGGAGCCGCGUGACGACCGGGGCCUCGCCGGCGAGGCGAGCUCCGCCCCCCAAGCCCGCAGGGCAGGCGGGAAGGCCGACCGGACCGCGCGGCGGCCUAGGAACCGAAGCCGACGCCCGCCACGCCCGAGGCGCCUCCGGCCCCGGGGGCCCCUGAAGACACGGGGAUGGCGACCCGCGGAGGGGUUCCGUCCUCCCCGGCCGACGCGACGGACUCGAGGGCUCUGCGGGCGCCUCGCCGACCCUCUCCGGGCCGCCACGUCCCGUUUGCACGUCCCUCCCUCCCCCCAGUUCCCGCGAGAAGAGCCGCCGGAAAGAAAGACGGAAAGAAGACGGCACGCCCGCGGGGCUCCAGAGUGGCUCGCACGCCCCGGCCGCCGCUCUGGUCUUUCUCGUGGCUUCCGGGCUCCCCUCCCCCACCCCGCGGAGACGGCUUCUCCGGGCGUCAGGGGUCCGCCCCCUCGAGUCUGCUGGGCGGCGUUUUCCGCGCGCUUCGCCAGAGUUCGCCCGCGCGUCCGGAGCUCGUCAGGGGCCGCUUGGGCCCCCGCCCCGCCCCGGGAUUUGACUGUCGCCGUUGCCCCUCAGCACGCACCGGGCCUCCUGGCCACGCGGCCUCGGUCGGCCGGGGCGCCUGGCGACGCGUGGCGCCCCGCCCGGGGGGGGGGGGUUCCCGAGAUGCUCCCGCCCGGCCGUCGGUUGCCAGAACCGGGCGCGACCGCCGCCCCCUCUUUCUGAAGACCAGCCUGUCACGCUCGCCAAGCGGAGCCCCGUGGCCCCGACGCCAGGCUCCCGAAAUCUAUUUAGCAGAAAGGAACUGCUGCCGGGUUCACCUCUUCUGCCGCCCGGUCUACUUCUCCAACCGUAGGGGGGCAUGUCUUAUCUGUCCUUCCACGGAUCUGCCCUCGGGUACCUGCUUCCCUGCCCAUCUGCUUCAAUACUUCUCCUUCACGGACCUCCCUGGUCCCAGGAGGCACGUUGACUCCUUCUUUUCCACCCGUGCUGACCCCUUGGAUACGGUGACUCAGCUUUUGGAUUGGCCUCUUGCCUUGGCACUUGGCCCCUACACGAUUCAGCUUCCUGUAUCUGCUCCCUGGCCACUCUCCGUCUGCCAAGCAGCUGAGGUCAUUUUCCGCUUGUCACCAUGUAUGGGAAUGGACAGCAAAAGCCGCCAUCCCCCGGUCUGGAAACUUCGGCAUCAUCCGUUUCUUCUGCUCCUCACCCCCCGGCCCUCCAUGCAAGUUCAUUCCACGGCAGCGUGACCUCGA
RNAcentral lists this long non-coding RNA (1278 nucleotides) under Felis catus (domestic cat). RNAcentral's name for it is "lncRNA (ENSFCAG00000052228.1)". Lineage: Eukaryota; Metazoa; Chordata; Mammalia; Carnivora; Felidae. The record is from RNAcentral.